ACUCCAAAGUGUUCUGUCAUUUCUCAGCGUGUGUUCUCGUGAGCUCUGACUGCUCCAAUGGCCGAGCUUGUGGGCAGCAUGGUGGUCGGGUCACUGCUGUCCCUGGUGAAGGAGAAGGCGUCCAGCUACCUCCUGGACCAGUACAAGGUGAUGGAGGGCAUGGAGGAGCAGCACAAGAAGCUCAAGGUCAUGCUGCCGGCCAUCCUGGAAAGGAUCACUGACGCAGAGAAGCAGGCAACCUCCAGAGAAGCAAUCAGACCCUGGCUUCAGAAGCUUAAGGUGGCGGCAUACGAGGCCAUCCAAGUCUUCGAUGAAUUCAACUAUGAGGCCCUCCGUCGUCAAGCCAAGAAAGAGGGGCGCUACAUCAAGCUCGGGAUGAGCAACCGCAUCAUGUUCCGUUAUAGGAUGGGCAACAAGCUUCGCAAGAUUGUGCGCGAUAUUGAGGCCCUUGUCAAGCAGAUGCGCGACUUUCGGUUCGACAAACAGCCACAAGCGCAGGUUCAGAUAAAUUAUCUGCGUGAGAAUGACUCCACCAUGGUUGACCCAGAGAUUGUCGGCAGAUCCAGAGAUGAAGAGAAGCAAAAGAUUGUUAGAAUGUUGGUCAAAGAACAAGCUAACAAUAAGGAUCCGAUGGUCGUUCCCAUUGUUGGAAUGGGUGGAUUGGGCAAGACCACCCUAGCUCAGCUCAUCUAUAAUGACCCUGAAGUGAGGAAGCAUUUCCACCAACUACUGAAGUGGGUCUGCGUGUCAGAUGAUUUCGAUGUUUGUAACCUUGCCAACAAGAUUUGCAAGGCUACUGAGAGCAACCUGGAGAAUGCCUUGCAGAACCUUCAGAGAGAACUCGCUGGAAAGAGGUACCUUCUUGUAUUGGAUGACGUCUGGAAUAAGGAUGAUAACAAGUGGAACAAGCUGAAUGCCUGUCUUAAACAUGGUGAUGUUGGUAGCGCCAUACUAACGACAACCCGUGAUAAAGAAAUAGCUCAACUCAUGGGUACAGUUGAAGAACAUGGCAUUGCACGUUUGGACAAUAAAUUCAUCAAGGAAAUUAUUGAGGCUAAAGCAUUCAUUUCGCAAGAGAGAAAACCAGCUGAUUUAGCUGGCUUGGUUGAUGACGUUGUUGAGAGAUGUGCCGGGUCUCCAUUGGCAGCGAAGGCACUAGGAUCUGUACUACAUGGCAAGACAAACACAGAAGAAUGGAAGGCUGUGCUUAGCAAAAGCAUCGCCCAUAACAAGGACGAUAAAAUCCUGCCUAUUCUCAAGCUCAGUUACGAUGACCUGCCAUCACACAUGAAGCAGUGCUUCGCUUUCUGUGCUGUGUUUCCUAAGGACCAUGAGAUUAACGUGGAAAUGCUGAUCCAACUAUGGAUGGCAAAUGACUUUAUUCUUGAACAAAAAGAUGUUCGUCAUGAAACAAUUGGUAAACAGAUUUUCAGUGAGCUGGUCUCAAGGUCAUUCUUUCAAGAUGUGCAGCAAGUCAUAGGGGAAAGAUAUGAUUCCGUGUAUUGGUAUUUCUCUACAAGUACAUGUAAAAUCCAUGAUCUUAUGCACGAUGUGGCACUAUCUGUCAUGGGCAAAGAAGUUGCUACCACAACUGAGAAGCCAAAGCAAAGUGAUGAGUUUCUUCAGAACACUUGUCGUCAUAUAUUGUUAUCAUGUGAGAAGCCAGAGGCCGUUUUGAAUGAUUCUCUGAAUAUAAGGUCUCCAGCUAUGCAAACACUACUAUGUGGUCAUCCCAUAGAAAGUUCCCUGCAGCAUCUUGCAAAAUACAGCUCUCUGCGUGCAUUGGAACUUUGUCUGCAUAAGAACACAAUCCUACUGAAACCAAAGCAGCUACAUCUCUUGAGGUAUCUUGAUAUCUCGUUUAGUGAUAUAGUGGCACUUCCGGAAGAUAUCAGCAUUUUGUACAAUCUGCAAACGCUGAAUGUUGCGCACUGUGACGAACUUGGCCGGCUUCCAAAGGGAAUAAAGUACAUGACUGCCCUCCGUCACCUCUACACUCACGGAUGUGAGGAGUUGAAGCGCAUGCCACCAGAGGUUGGACAUCUCACUUCCCUGCAAACACUUACAAAUUUUGUAGUGGGUACAGGCCCUGAUUGCAGUAGUAUUGCAGAGCUGCAGCAUUUAAACAACCUUGGUGGUCCACUACUGCUUAGUCAACUCGAAAAUGUGACAAAAGCAGCAGAUGCAAAACAGGCCAAUCUUGGAAAUAAAAAGGAGCUCAGGGAAUUGUCAUUAACGUGGACAGGUAGUGAGGAGGAGAAACAACAUUGUCAUAAGGUGCUGGAGGGUCUCGAAGCUCCUCCUGGACUAGAGGCUCUGAGGAUAGAGCAUUACCAAGGAACCAGUUUCCCAACGUGGAUGGGUACGCUGACAAAAAUGGUGGAGCUUCAUCUUUUUGACUGUAACAAGUCCAAUAAGCUUCCUCCACUUGGGAGUGUACCAGCUCUACAAGUUCUUCGCUUGGAAAGAUUGAAAAAUCUGGAAAGCUUGUGCAGUGGUGGUACAUUCUUUCACUUUCCUAAUCUGAAGGAGCUUACGCUGGACGAACUGCCGGAAUUUGAUAGAUGGUGUGAAGUAAACUGGGUCCAAGGAGAACAGAUAAUGUUUCCUCAACUUGAGAAGUUGUUUAUUACAAAUUGUGGAAAGAUUACAGCAUUACCAGGGCCAGCACUUCUCGGAGGGCCUGAGCUCGGAGCAGCACCGAAGGUGCUAAAAUCAGAAGACUUGGAGCUUGGGACAACAUUGUGUGGUGGAGAUUAUGGAAAGGCACGAUCAUCCUUUCCAGCACUGAAGGUACUUAAAUUGUGUCGGUUGGACAACUUUCAGAGCUGGGAGGCAACGGAAGCAGAUCAAGGAAAUACAAUAUUUCCAAAUCUUGAAGAGUUAUCAAUCGAAAAGUGCCCCGAACUGGCAGCAUUACCAUCAGCUACAUCUCAGGGAGUAUCAUUUGACCAUAGUGAUGUUACAGCAUGGUUAGCAUUUCCAAACUUAAAGAGGCUCCGGUUAUUUUACUUAGAUAGUUUUAAGAGCUUGGGGAUGACGGAAGCGACUCAUGGUGAACAGCAGAGAUUCCCUGACCUUGAGACUGUGUGUGUUUACAAAUGUCCGAAGUUGACAACUCUACUGGGGGUGAUAGAAGCACCAAAGCUUGGUGCAUUACAAAUAAAUGGCAGCCAACUGACAGCAAUAAUAGUGCCUACAAUUAUUAACUCAUUGUCCAAACUGGCGUUAUCAGUCGAAGACACAGAAACUACUUUACCAACUGUGCAUAGGGCCUUCGAGCUGGUGGACGCCAAUAAAUCCCCUCUGACACGUCUGGAGCUAAGAGGCUGCAACUUUCUGUUCCCCUCAAGUCCACUGGCACUAUGGACAUGUUUUGUCCAGCUCCAACGUUUGACAAUCAAGAUCAUCCAUGCGCUUGUCUACUGGCCGGAAAAAGAGUUCCAGAGCUUGGUAUCCUUGAGGCACCUUUCCAUUUGGAACUGCAGUGGUCUGAUUGGGUACGCGAAAGCUGCUCCUGGCCAACCAAUAUCAGAAAGGAGCCAAGUUCUGCCCCGUCUCGAUUCUCUAUACAUACAGGAUUGUGAAAGUCUGGUAGAGGUCUUCAACGUCCCCGCAUCUCUCAAGACGAUGGAUUUGCGCGGCUGCCCUAAGCUUAAGUCCAUAUUCGGAGAGCAACAGGACGAGCCAACAUUCAAUCAAGGGCCCAGCGCUGUACCGAAGCUGUCAUCAUCGGCCCACGAUCACUUACUACUUCCAUGUCUUGAAUAUCUAAGAAUAUACAGGUGCGAAAGCUUGUCAGAGGUUCUCAACCUUCCCCCAUCCCUCAGGAAUAUAGAUAUUUGUGAGUGUGGCAAACUCCAACUCCUAUCAGGCCAGCUGGAUGGACUCCGAAAACUAGAUAUUUGGGUAUGCCCAGAGUUGAGAUCACUGGAAUCUUGCUUGGGAGAGUUUUCAACCCUGGAACGCCUCAGACUUCGUGAAUGCAAAAGCCUGGCAUCCUUGCCCGAUGGGCCACAAGCAUACUCAUCUCUCCGUGAUCUUUUCAUUAAAUCAUGUCCAGGUAUACAGUCGCUUCCUUCAUCCCUGAAGAAGAGACUGGACGACCUCAUUUAUAAAUAUUUGGAUGCUCGUCACGAAGGUGCCAAGUUAUUGAAACCAAAGACAUGGAAAUAUGCCAUUCAUUUGUAGAAAUCAGUGAGCUGUCAAAACAUGAAGUACCAGGGACAUGUUUGCCUCAUUUACUAUAAUAUGGAAAUGCUAUUUUCCUUCUAUGUUGAUCGUUGAUCAAGCUACAUCAUGGCAGUUAUCUCCAUGUGAUUGGAAGAGAGUUCUGCAUUUUGCAUACCAACUGCAACUAUGAUGUUUAUAACUGAGCCUGGAGAGAUAUUAUGCCAUUUCUGUGACCAUUCUGUUCUGUUAUGUCCAUUUCACAUGUUCAAAACAAAAUUUUCCCUUAAGUGACUAUUCUAUUGAAUUGAUAUUUUACUUUUUCAGAUAAUACUGAUAUUUUUAACUUGCUUUA
RNA transcript from Setaria italica (foxtail millet), 4525 nucleotides. It is a transcript of the gene named disease resistance protein RGA2-like, with no coding region annotated. Lineage: Eukaryota; Viridiplantae; Streptophyta; Magnoliopsida; Poales; Poaceae. The record is from RefSeq and is a predicted model, not a curated record. The transcript has 5 exons.